UGCCUAGUAGUUCAGCGGUAGAACAUCUGACUGUUAAUCAGAAUGUCGCUGGUUCGAGCCCAGCCUAGGCAGCCA
Molecule: transfer RNA, 75 nt
Filed under: Marine Group I thaumarchaeote
Lineage: Archaea; Thermoproteati; Nitrososphaerota
Description: tRNA-Asn
Rfam family: tRNA
About the family: Transfer RNA (tRNA) molecules are approximately 80 nucleotides in length.
Source: RNAcentral